This 2381-nucleotide long non-coding RNA is filed under the name Canis lupus familiaris (dog). RNAcentral's name for it is "lncRNA (ENSCAFG00040018929.1)". Lineage: Eukaryota; Metazoa; Chordata; Mammalia; Carnivora; Canidae. The record is from RNAcentral.
CUAAGCUCCACUGGGUCUUUUCCUGUCGUAACAGAGAGGUGGGGUGACAUUGUCUGGGAGGUUCACACGUUCAGGGAAAGAUCAAGCAUAAAAUUUGAAAGGGACCAAGCAGCAAUGUUAGUAUGUGGUGGGCUCAGUAAUCGACGAUGAACAAAAACGUCAGUUCGAACAUCUAAUCUGCAUGUGGACAGAAGUGCUCUGAGCCCAAGUGGUCAUCAAAGCUGUUCGGUUCAUAUAUUAGUGUUAAUCCUUUGUGGUUCAUUAAUAAAAGGACAUUUGGAGCAGUUAGUGGUCUCCUUGCUCUAGCCGUGCACAGUGACUUGUUCCUCGGACAGAGUUACAGAUGCGGGGGAUUUGGAGGAUUCCUACCUUAUCUUUGUCCGAUAAUACUGAAUUAACUCAUAUCGUCACUAUUUUUAAGAAACACAAAAGCCUAUUAGCUUAAAAUUUUGGCUUCUCGUAUGCCAGUUGGAAAUAAACUCCAAAAUAGAUCAAUAUAAAAAACAAAACUAUUAAAACUCUAAAGAAAAAUAUAGGUGAAUAUUUAUGUAAUUUUAGUGCCGAGAAGACGUUCAGUGCACGACAGAAGGAGGGGGAGAAGGUAUAAGAAAAGGUAAUAAGAUUGACUACUAAGAUAUGAAGAUGCCAGAGAAAUGUAUUCAUGGACACUGAACAAAGCCUAUGUGAUAUUUUGCUAAGUGAAAUGUGGGUAGUGGGGCAUCGCCGGCUGAUUAGGGGCUAAAGUCAUAAAGUUCCAGCAGGAGCUUAUUUUGCGUACCUUUUCUUCUCCCUAGCCUACUUGAGCCGAACCCCACUAGGAUGAGUACCAACGGCAAUCUUGUUGCGGGACAUGGUACAAGAAUGAUCUCUUCUUCUCAAUGUCUCAGAAAAUGAAGGAAGUGGGGUGUUCAGAGAGGCUGUUCUGUAAUAAAAGAGUUUUAAGACUCAUAAAAAUCAAAUAUGAUGCCUAACCCAUGAAUGGGUUCUCGUGAGAAGAAAAGAACCAUAAAAGCACCAUGUAAUCUGGAAUCUUGGUCCAGCCCUCAUGACCCGUCUGUUCUCUGCCAAGUCUCACAGAAUCUCAUCCUGUGCUGCAGCUCAGUUCAGUAUUCAGUCAAAGACCCAAGGAAAGGAACUCCUCUGGAUGUUUUGGAAGCUACUUUUCUAUAUUUCUCCCCGUUCUGUGGCACCAUGUCCUGCAAAUGCAACUUGCUCCAACAACCUUAGACUCUGAUCUUGGUCCGUUCUACCCAGGGACACUCCUCUUUUCUGCUUGGGCUCCUCUUCCCUGUGCUGCAGCUUGGAAAGUGCUCUCUCAGCUAUAAUAUAGAUCUCAUCUCAUGUGUGGCUUUUCUUUCAAAGAUCACAACCUUGCACUGUCUAUCCAAUACCUGAAAGCAGCUAGUUCAUAUGUAUUGUCCAGUUUUAUGGUUCAUUCCCUGAGAGGGCAAGCCCAGUCAUCCUUACUCCAUCUUGCCUAGAACUAGAAGUGACUUCAACUUGCUUAUUAAUCUCUGAACUUCAGGUUCAUCAACACCUGUGGCAUGAGGCUUUGGGCUAGACCAGUACAUCUGAUGUGUAACUCUGCCCAUAUUCAGAGCUGUUUCUCAGUCCAAGCCACUUUCUCCACCUAUAAUAUGGGUUUCCAGUAUAAAAGUUGGAUUUGAUCUCUUGAAUAAACUCUUCUGCAGUUACAGAAACUUUUGAACUAGAAGAAUCAUCAGGCAUUACACAGUCAAUAUUUUUAUGGCUAAGGUGCACAUUAUUUUAAAAUUUAUAAAGCACUUUCACAUACAUAUUUCACUAGUUUAUAGAUGUUUUCUGUUUUGUGAAUACAAGCCAAGCUGAUACUAUCCGUCUUUUAUAAGGUUCUGAAAAGGUAUGUGGCUGAAGAAAGGUUCCUUAGCAGAUCAGAGGCACAGCCUGGAUUUAAAUCAGUCUAAGCUCAGGGCCUUCCCACAAAACGACACCUCUGAGUUUAUGUGAAAAGUGAGGAAGUUAUCACAGGUCUUCAAGGUCCUACCACAUUUUUCACUUCUUUGGCCAUUGCAGCAGCGCUGGCGAAAGUUCUCAUGAGCAGCUUCUGUGAAGGUGUGUGGUGGGGGAAAAAACAGUGUUUGAUUAUAUCAGUCAGGAUUGGCUUGGGUACACUGGGUAACAAACAAUCCCUCAAAUCUCAGUGGCCUAAACUAGCAAAGAGUCACUUAGUUUUCAGGCUGUUUGUCCGUGAUGGUUAGGCAGGGGCACCGAGGGUCCCAGGCAAGUGGAGUAGCCGUCAUCUCAAAUGUCGCCGAUGCCGUGUUAGAGCGACAAAAAGAAUUCUGGAGGACCUCAAGCUGUCAGUUAGUGUUCUUGUGUGUGUGUCCCUUCUACCUGUGACC